This 966-nucleotide non-coding RNA is filed under the name Malacoptila semicincta (semicollared puffbird). Its description in RNAcentral is "partial 12S ribosomal RNA". It matches the Rfam family "Bacterial small subunit ribosomal RNA". Lineage: Eukaryota; Metazoa; Chordata; Aves; Piciformes; Bucconidae. The record is from RNAcentral.
AAAGACUUAGUCCUAACCUUACAGUUAGUUCUUGCCAGACAUAUACAUGCAAGCAUCCGCAUGCCAGUGCAAAUGCCCUUGGCCUCUUACCAAGACAAAAGGAGCAGGUAUCAGGCUCACCUACACCGUAGCCCAAGACACCUUGCCACCGGCCACACCCCCACGGGUACUCAGCAGUAAUAAACCUUAAGCAAUGAGUGCAAGCUCGACUUAGCCAUGGCAACCCCCAAGGGCUGGUAAACCUUGUGCCAGCCACCGCGGCCAUACAAGAAGCCCAAACUAACUGCCCACGGCGUAAAGAGUGGUACAACACUAUCCAACUAACUAGGGCUAAAAUGCAACCAAGCUGUCAUAAGCCUAAGCUGCACACAAACACCCCCUCAAAACGACCCUAGCACCCCGGACCAACCGACCCCACGAAAGCCAGGGUACAAACUGGGAUUAGAUACCCCACUAUGCCUGGCCUUAAAUCCAGAUGUUCCCUCACCAAACAUCCGCCCGAGAACUACGAGCACAAACGCUUAAAACUCUAAGGACUUGGCGGUGCCCCACAUCCACCUAGAGGAGCCUGUCCUAUAAUCGAUACCCCACGAUGCACCCGACCGCUCCUUGCACGGCAGCCUACAUACCGCCGUCGCCAGCUCACCUUACUGAGAGGACAACAGUGAACACAACAGCCCCCAACCACUAACAAGACAGGUCAAGGUAUAGCCAAUGGACCGGAAGAGAUGGGCUACAUUUCCUACACCAGGAAACCACGAAAGGGGAUAUGAAACCAUCCCCAGAAGGAGGAUUUAGCAGUAAAGCGGGACAAUCAUGCCCUCUUUAAGUCGGCCCUGGGGCACGUACAUACCGCCCGUCACCCUCCUCACAAGCUUCCCCACCUCAUUCUUAAUCCAACAGCCCGCUAAUUCAGACGAGGCAAGUCGUAACAAGGUAAGUGUACCGGAAGGUGUACUUAGCAUA